GAUGUAUCUCAGUGGUAGAAUGCUUGCCUAGCAUGCAAGAGGCUCUGGGUUUAAUCCCCCGCACUCCA
Molecule: transfer RNA, 68 nt
Filed under: Marmota monax (woodchuck)
Lineage: Eukaryota; Metazoa; Chordata; Mammalia; Rodentia; Sciuridae
Description: tRNA.Ala
Source: RNAcentral